GUAGGUGCUCAGGUUCAGGGCUUCGACGGGGAUGGUUUUGGAACUCGGGAGCCCUGAGCGUUCCCCUCCUCUGUCCCCCAGGACAUCCUGAACCACGUGUUCGACGACGUAGAGAGCUUUGUAUCGAGGCUGCAGAAGUCGGCGGAGGCGGCCAGGGUGCUAGAGCACCGGGAACGCGGCCGCAGGACACGGCGCCGGGCGGCUGGGGAGGGCCUGCUGACGCUGCGGGCCAAGCCGCCUUCGGAGGCCGAGUACACCGACGUGCUGCAGAAGAUCAAGUACGCCUUCAGCCUGCUGGCCCGGCUGCGCGGCAACAUCGCCGACCCCUCCUCUCCGGAGCUGUUGCACUUCCUUCUCGGGCCUCUGCAGAUGAUUGUGAACACGUCGGGGGGGCCGGAGUUCGCGAGCAGCGUGCGGCGGCCGCACCUGACAUCGGAUGCCGUGGCGCUGCUGCGGGACAACGUCACUCCAUGUGAAAACGAGCUCUGGACCUCGCUGGGGGACUCGUGGACCCGCCCCGGGCUGGAGCUGCCUCCGGACGAGGGACC
RNAcentral lists this small RNA (548 nucleotides) under Pongo abelii (Sumatran orangutan). Its description in RNAcentral is "retained intron". Lineage: Eukaryota; Metazoa; Chordata; Mammalia; Primates; Hominidae. The record is from RNAcentral.